ACGUCGCGAGAAGUCCACUGAACCUUAUCAUUUAGAGGAAGGAGAAGUCGUAACAAGGUUUCCGUAGGUGAACCUGCGGAAGGAUCAUUGUCGAUGCCACGCAGAAAAAGAGAGACCCGCGAACCGGUUGGAACGAACCCCCGGGCGGGGGAGGGCGACGGCGCGCCCGAGUCCUCCCCCGACGAACAAACCCCGGCGCCUCAGGCGCCAAGGAAACCGAACAGAGCGGAGGCGCGCUCGCUGGGGGCCCGGGAACGGCGCCGAUCAAACCCAGCGUCGCGCCUCGAGCCGCUUGCAUCCGAAAUGACUCUCGGCAACGGAUAUCUCGGCUCUCGCAUCGAUGAAGAACGUAGCGAAAUGCGAUACUUGGUGUGAAUUGCAGAAUCCCGUGAACCAUCGAGUCUUUGAACGCAAGUUGCGCCCGAAGCCAAUAGGCCGAGGGCACGUCUGCCUGGGCGUCACACAACGUCGCCGGCGCCCGCUCCCGCGGGCCCGGCGGAAGAUGGCCCCCCGGGAGCCUCGCCUCCCGGCCGGCCGAAAAAGGGGCCCCCACGUGACGAGCGCCACGAUCCACGGUGGUUGAGCGGAGAGCCGCUCGAGGCCAGGACGUGCGCGGGUCGUCCCACGGCAAGGGCCGCGGCCGCAGAGGCCCCCCACCCGUACGCGACCCCAGGUCAGGCGGGGCUACCCGCUGAGUUUAAGCAUAUCAAUAAGGGAGGAAAAG
Molecule: ribosomal RNA, 724 nt
Filed under: Lysiloma latisiliquum
Lineage: Eukaryota; Viridiplantae; Streptophyta; Magnoliopsida; Fabales; Fabaceae
Description: eukaryotic LSU rRNA
Rfam family: 5.8S ribosomal RNA (bases 306-461)
Source: RNAcentral